GGCUUACACAUGCAAGUCGAGCGGGGGAAGGUAGCUUGCUACUGGACCUAGCGGCGGACGGGUGAGUAAUGCUUAGGAAUCUGCCUAUUAGUGGGGGACAACAUCUCGAAAGGGAUGCUAAUACCGCAUACGUCCUACGGGAGAAAGCAGGGGAUCUUCGGACCUUGCGCUAAUAGAUGAGCCUAAGUCGGAUUAGCUAGUUGGUGGGGUAAAGGCCUACCAAGGCGACGAUCUGUAGCGGGUCUGAGAGGAUGAUCCGCCACACUGGGACUGAGACACGGCCCAGACUCCUACGGGAGGCAGCAGUGGGGAAUAUUGGACAAUGGGGGGAACCCUGAUCCAGCCAUGCCGCGUGUGUGAAGAAGGCCUUAUGGUUGUAAAGCACUUUAAGCGAGGAGGAGGCUACUCUAGUUAAUACCUAGGGAUAGUGGACGUUACUCGCAGAAUAAGCACCGGCUAACUCUGUGCCAGCAGCCGCGGUAAUACAGAGGGUGCGAGCGUUAAUCGGAUUUACUGGGCGUAAAGCGUGCGUAGGCGGCUUAUUAAGUCGGAUGUGAAAUCCCCGAGCUCAACUUGGGAAUUGCAUUCGAUACUGGUGAGCUAGAGUAUGGGAGAGGAUGGUAGAAUUCCAGGUGUAGCGGUGAAAUGCGUAGAGAUCUGGAGGAAUACCGAUGGCGAAGGCAGCCAUCUGGCCUAAUACUGACGCUGAGGUACGAAAGCAUGGGGAGCAAACAGGAUUAGAUACCCUGGUAGUCCAUGCCGUAAACGAUGUCUACUAGCCGUUGGGGCCUUUGAGGCUU
RNAcentral lists this ribosomal RNA (800 nucleotides) under uncultured bacterium. Its description in RNAcentral is "bacterial SSU rRNA". It matches the Rfam family "Bacterial small subunit ribosomal RNA", at positions 45 to 840 of the family's 1533-position model. The record is from RNAcentral.